This 460-nucleotide ribosomal RNA is filed under the name uncultured bacterium. Its description in RNAcentral is "partial 16S ribosomal RNA". It matches the Rfam family "Bacterial small subunit ribosomal RNA", at positions 338 to 795 of the family's 1533-position model. The record is from RNAcentral.
CCUACGGGAGGCAGCAGUGAGGAAUAUUGGUCAAUGGACGCAAGUCUGAACCAGCCAUGCCGCGUGCAGGAAGACGGCUCUAUGAGUUGUAAACUGCUUUUGUACGGGGGUAAACGCAGAUACGCGUAUCUUUCUGAAAGGUACGUACGAAUAAGGAACGGCUAACUCCGGUCCAGCCGCCGCGGGAAAUCGGAGGAUUCAGGCGUUAUCCGGAUUUAUUGGGGUUAAAGGGUGGGUAGGCGGGCUGAUCAGGUAGAGGUGAAAACCCGGGGCUUAACUUCGGAAUUGCCUGUGAUACUGGUCGGCUAGAGAGUAGUAGCGGUAGGCGGAAUGUAUGGUGUAGCGGUGAAAUGCUUAGAGAUCAUACAGAACACCGAUGGCGAAGGCAGCUUACCAGGCUACAACUGACGUUGAGGCACGAAAGCGUGGGGAGCAAACAGGAUUAGAUACCCUGGUAGUC